RNAcentral lists this unclassified non-coding RNA (341 nucleotides) under soil metagenome. Its description in RNAcentral is "partial contains 5.8S ribosomal RNA, internal transcribed spacer 2, and large subunit ribosomal RNA". The stretch from base 1 to 120 matches the Rfam family "5.8S ribosomal RNA", at positions 35 to 154 of the family's 154-position model. The record is from RNAcentral.
GAUGAAGAACGUAGCGAAAUGCGAUAAGUAAUGUGAAUUGCAGAAUUCAGUGAAUCAUCGAAUCUUUGAACGCACAUUGCGCCCGCCAGCAUUCUGGCGGGCAUGCCUGUUCGAGCGUCAUUUCAACCCUCGAGCCCCCCCGGGGGCCUCGGUGUUGGGGGACGGCACACCAGCCGCCCCCGAAAUGCAGUGGCGACCUCGCCGCAGCCUCCCCUGCGUAGUAGCACACACCUCGCACCGGAGCGCGGAGACGGUCACGCCGUAAAACGCCCAACUUCUUAGAGUUGACCUCGGAUCAGGUAGGAAUACCCGCUGAACUUAAGCAUAUCAAAAGCGGAGGA